GAUGAACGCUAGCGGGAGGCCUAACACAUGCAAGCCGAGCGGUAUUGUUUCUUCGGAAAUGAGAGAGCGGCGUACGGGUGCGGAACACGUGUGCAACCUGCCUUUAUCUGGGGGAUAGCCUUUCGAAAGGAAGAUUAAUACUCCAUAAUAUAUUGAACGGCAUCGUUUAAUAUUGAAAGCUCCGGCGGAUAGAGAUGGGCACGCGCAAGAUUAGCUAGUUGGUGAGGUAACGGCUCACCAAGGCGAUGAUCUUUAGGGGGCCUGAGAGGGUGAUCCCCCACACUGGUACUGAGACACGGACCAGACUCCUACGGGAGGCAGCAGUGAGGAAUAUUGGUCAAUGGGUGCAAGCCUGAACCAGCCAUCCCGCGUGAAGGACGACUGCCCUAUGGGUUGUAAACUUCUUUUGUAUAGGGAUAAACCUACCCUCGUGAGGGUAGCUGAAGGUACUAUACGAAUAAGCACCGGCUAACUCCGUGCCAGCAGCCGCGGUAAUACGGAGGGUGCAAGCGUUAUCCGGAUUUAUUGGGUUUAAAGGGUCCGUAGGCGGACUUAUAAGUCAGUGGUGAAAGCCUGUCGCUUAACGAUAGAACUGCCAUUGAUACUGUAAGUCUUGAGUAUAUUUGAGGUAGCUGGAAUAAGUAGUGUAGCGGUGAAAUGCAUAGAUAUUACUUAGAACACCAAUUGCGAAGGCAGGUUACCAAGAUAUAACUGACGCUGAGGGACGAAAGCGUGGGGAGCGAACAAGAUUAGAUACCCUGGUAGUCCACGCCGUAAACGAUGCUAACUCGUUUUUGGGCUUUAGGGUUCAGAGACCAAGCGAAAGUGAUAAGUUAGCCACCUGGGGAGUACGCUCGCAAGAGUGAAACUCAAAGGAAUUGACAGGGGCCCGCACAAGCGGUGGAUUAUGUGGUUUAAUUCGAUGAUACGCGAGGAACCUUACCAAGACUUAAAUGGGAAUUGACAGCUUUAGAAAUAGAGCUUUCUUCGGACAAUUUUCAAGGUGCUGCAUGGUUGUCGUCAGCUCGUGCCGUGAGGUGUUAGGUUAAGUCCUGCAACGAGCGCAACCCCUGUCACUAGUUGCCAUCAUUCAGUUGGGGACUCUAGUGAGACUGCCUACGCAAGUAGAGAGGAAGGUGGGGAUGACGUCAAAUCAUCACGGCCCUUACGUCUUGGGCCACACACGUAAUACAAUGGCCGGUACAGAGGGCAGCUACACAGCGAUGUGAUGCAAAUCUCGAAAGCCGGUCUCAGUUCGGAUUGGAGUCUGCAACUCGACUCUAUGAAGCUGGAAUCGCUAGUAAUCGCGCAUCAGCCAUGGCGCGGUGAAUACGUUCCCGGGCCU
This 1345-nucleotide ribosomal RNA is filed under the name uncultured bacterium. RNAcentral describes it as "bacterial SSU rRNA". It matches the Rfam family "Bacterial small subunit ribosomal RNA", at positions 28 to 1381 of the family's 1533-position model. The record is from RNAcentral.